UUGGCUCAGGAUUGAACGCUGGCGGCGUGCCUAAUACAUGCAAGUAGAACGCUGAAGAGAGGAGCUUGCUCUUCUUGGAUGAGUUGCGAACGGGUGAGUAACGCGUAGGUAACCUGCCUGGUAGCGGGGGAUAACUAUUGGAAACGAUAGCUAAUACCGCAUAAAAUUGAUUAUUGCAUGAUAAUUAAUUGAAAGAUGCAAUUGCAUCACUACCAGAUGGACCUGCGUUGUAUUAGCUAGUUGGUGAGGUAACGGCUCACCAAGGCGACGAUACAUAGCCGACCUGAGAGGGUGAUCGGCCACACUGGGACUGAGACACGGCCCAGACUCCUACGGGAGGCAGCAGUAGGGAAUCUUCGGCAAUGGGGGGAACCCUGACCGAGCAACGCCGCGUGAGUGAAGAAGGUUUUCGGAUCGUAAAGCUCUGUUGUAAGAGAAGAACGGGUGUGAGAGUGGAAAGUUCACACUGUGACGGUAUCUUACCAGAAAGGGACGGCUAACUACGUGCCAGCAGCCGCGGUAAUACGUAGGUCCCGAGCGUUGUCCGGAUUUAUUGGGCGUAAAGCGAGCGCAGGCGGUUAGAUAAGUCUGAAGUUAAAGGCUGUGGCUUAACCAUAGUAUGCUUUGGAAACUGUUUAACUUGAGUGCAGAAGGGGAGAGUGGAAUUCCAUGUG
This 674-nucleotide ribosomal RNA is filed under the name Streptococcus sanguinis. RNAcentral describes it as "bacterial SSU rRNA". It matches the Rfam family "Bacterial small subunit ribosomal RNA", at positions 19 to 675 of the family's 1533-position model. The record is from RNAcentral. Lineage: Bacteria; Bacillati; Bacillota; Bacilli; Lactobacillales; Streptococcaceae.